This is a long non-coding RNA of Helianthus annuus (common sunflower), 2362 nucleotides long. RefSeq lists it as uncharacterized. The transcript has 3 exons. NCBI's taxonomy places the organism in Eukaryota, Viridiplantae, Streptophyta, Magnoliopsida, Asterales, Asteraceae. The record is from RefSeq and is a predicted model, not a curated record.
GCCAAAAGCCUGGUCACCCACCUUUCCCUUUUCUCUUCUUUCCCUCUGCUCCUCUUUUCAGAUCAUGUUCUCCUCUUGCUUUUGAAUUUUGAAAUUUGAAAUAGAGGUUUUGAAUUUCAAAUCUCUACUUUCUCUCUCAAUUCCCAGUUCUUUCAUUUUUUUUCUUUUUCCUCAAACAACUUAUGUAAUUUAAAAUUCAAAUUCAUUAUCACCAAACCAAAUUCCAAAACCAUGAUAAAAAGAGAGAGAAGAGACGAGACGACCCAUGUUUCAUCUUUUCAAAAACCCCUUUCCCAACGCGUUUUCUUCAUAUCUUCGUUUUUCUUCGUUGUUUUUGACGAUUUCCUUUACAUAUUCAUGUUGAUCUCUCUUUGAUCUACGUUUUGUGUAUGGAUUUGAUGUGUAUUGAUGAAACUUUCGUCAACGAUCGUUGCGGUGAUCAGAGAUUAAGAUCUAGAUUUGUUGUUUCAGAAGGAUGAGAUCUUAACCAGGUUUGGCGAUAUUCCGCUUUGGCUGUUAAUCUCUCAAACUUGAUUUUGAAUCUUUGAAUCAACCAGUUUUAUAUUCUCAAUUUCAACGAGCCGUAGAUAUCCUUAAUUGCGAUUGAAGCAAACAGGUAAGUUUGUUAUCGACCUGUAAUUUUCUACAUGCAUCUUUCUUUCAUGAUUUGUGUUUAAUCUUGAUAUCUCACCCUCCUAUUUUCAUCGUUUAGGUUUUUAAACAAUGAAUAUUCAAGAAAUUGGUUUUCCAUUUACUUAUUCUUAAAUCUAUAAUCGUUAAUUUUGGAGUACAAAACCCUUUAUAUAUUAUAAGGUUUAAUUUCGUCGGGCGGGGUGAUUUAAUGAAGGUUAUAUGACGCGAAGGGAUUGGAGGAUUAUACUUCCGUGGUUGGAUGCUUAUAUCAGGUUAUACAAAGUGAAUGGGUUAGAUGAUUAUACAAUGUCCUUAAUUCAUCUCUGCUUGGAACUGCUGCAUCACAGGUAACAAACAUAUGCUUUCUAUUAUUGCCUCUAAUAAACGUUGGACUGCACUUUUUGUUGUGUUUAGGUUCAAUUGGACUGCAUUCUUUGUUGUUUUUAGGCUCAGUUGGGUGUCUUAUAGUCCAUCGCUGGAUUGCAUUUUUGAGUGCAAAAUUGAUAGUUCAACUUAUUUGGCCUGAAAUAUAGCUACUUGUGCGUGUGAUUUAGAUUUGUAAUUAGAGUGAUUAUUGCCGCUGGAAAUUAGGGGUCGGCGUUUAGUGUUUCCAACCCACCAGAACCUUGGACCCGACCCUCCAAAACCGCCAAACAAACUGUUUUAUUAAUAGUGAUUCGUUUCCGGGUCUAGGUUUGUUUGAAAUAUCACUUCCGGGUCGGUUUGGUUUCGACGCACAUGUACUUAAAUGGAACCACGAGAACUGACUGAAAUUCAAAUUGAACAAAAAAACCUAUUUUUUUUAAUUUGAUGCUUCUGUUAUUCUUCGUAUAUUUGAGUAUCACUUCCGGGUCGGUUUGGUUUCGACACACAUGUACUUAAAUGAGUUAUAUUUUCAAGCUGUUAUGAGCUAUAUUUUCAAAAUAAAGCAUGAUAACAUUGUGGUCCGCCUUUUGACCCAUAUAGUUUAUCAAUAGGUUUUUGCUUUGAUGAUCGUAGAAGCUGGGUUUCAAAAGGUCGAGUAUGAAAAUCUUGUGGGUGGAGUGGUCGCAACCUGUUUCGGGUUGAAAUUCUAAACUUUCAACGUGUAAGGUACACAAAAGUUCAUAAACGGAGUGUGGGAUGAUACCAACCACCUAAUGCAUAUUGUAUUUUUUUGUGUACACAAAAGUUCAUAAUAACAUAUCUUUAAUCUUAUUUAAGAUUCUAUUUAUUAACUUAAUCAUUUAUUUUGGUUUAAAAGAGAAAAUCUAAACGAAAAGUUUUUUUUUACAUCAAUGUACUUUAUCUAUUUUACACUUAAACUAAUAGAUGUUUGGUUACUUUUUUGGAUUGUUAGAAGUAAGCAAUCAUGCUUCCAGUGUGGUAAUUUCUCUAACCCACAUGUGCAUUUUCUUUGGUUUGAUUUUGAAUAUAUGCCACCUGAAGAACACUAGAUCCAAUUGAGAACAACUCAGACAUGGCCGAAAGCUUCACCAAGAGGAUGAGUUUGAUUCAUGAAAGUCAAGAGUAAAGACGUAUUGAAACUACUAAUUUUAGAUAAAGAUAGUAUGAUUAGAAAAUAAACGUCAAAUGUUGUGUACAAGGCAUAUAUUUAUGUUUAUUAACAAUUGCAAUUUUACUUAUGAUGUUAGUUCAACAAGACUUUUACAACAUGAAUGUGGUCAGUUUAGGUUGUUAAUGGUUGGUGAUGGCCACUUUUUUUAAAUAUUUAUACGGGUUUCGAGUA